GAUGAACGCUGGCGGCGUGCCUAAUACAUGCAAGUCGAGCGAACGGACGAGAAGCUUGCUUCUCUGAUGUUAGUGGCGGACGGGUGAGUAACACGUGGAUAACCUACCUAUAAGACUGGGAUAACUUCGGGAAACCGUAGCUAAUACCGGAUAAUAUUUUGAACCGCAUGGUUCAAAAGUGAAAGACGGUCUUGCUGUCACUUAUAGAUGGAUCCGCGCUGCAUUAGCUAGUUGGUAAGGUAACGGCUUACCAAGGCAACGAUGCAUAGCCGACCUGAGAGGGUGAUCGGCCACGCUGGAACUGAGACACGGUCCAGACUCCUACGGGAGGCAGCAGUAGGGAAUCUUCCGCAAUGGGCGAAAGCCUGACGGAGCAACGCCGCGUGAGUGAUGAAGGUCUUCGGAUCGUAAAACUCUGUUAUUAGGGAAGAACAUAUGUGUAAGUAACUGUGCACAUCUUGACGGUACCUAAUCAGAAAGCCACGGCUAACUACGUG
RNAcentral lists this ribosomal RNA (497 nucleotides) under uncultured bacterium. Its description in RNAcentral is "partial 16S ribosomal RNA". It matches the Rfam family "Bacterial small subunit ribosomal RNA", at positions 28 to 507 of the family's 1533-position model. The record is from RNAcentral.